RNAcentral lists this ribosomal RNA (274 nucleotides) under uncultured bacterium. RNAcentral's name for it is "partial 16S ribosomal RNA". It matches the Rfam family "Bacterial small subunit ribosomal RNA", at positions 523 to 796 of the family's 1533-position model. The record is from RNAcentral.
AUACGGAGGGGGUUAGCGUUGUUCGGAAUUACUGGGCGUAAAGCGUACGUAGGCGGAUCGGAAAGUAAGGGGUGAAAUCCCAGGGCUCAACCCUGGAACUGCCUCUUAAACUCCCGGUCUUGAGUUCGAGAGAGGUGAGUGGAAUUCCUAGUGUAGAGGUGGAAUUCGUAGAUAUUAGGAGGAACACCAGUGGCGAAGGCGGCUCACAGGCUCGAUACUGACGCUGAGGUACGAAAGUGUGGGGAGCAAACGGGAUUAGAUACCCUAGUAGUCC